Molecule: ribosomal RNA, 427 nt
Filed under: uncultured bacterium
Lineage: Bacteria
Description: bacterial SSU rRNA
Rfam family: Bacterial small subunit ribosomal RNA
Source: RNAcentral
UGGUGAAUUUUGGACAAUGGGCGAAAGCCUGAUCCAGCAAUGCCGCGUGCAGGAAGAAGGCCUUCGGGUUGUAAACUGCUUUUGUACGGAACGAAACGGUCUUUUUUAAUACAAGGAGCUAAUGACGGUACCGUAAGAAUGAGCACCGGCUAACUACGUGCCAGCAGCCGCGGUAAUACGUAGGGUGCGAGCGUUAAUCGGAAUUACUGGGCGUAAAGCGUGCGCAGGCGGUUAUAUAAGACAGUUGUGAAAUCCCCGGGCUCAACCUGGGAAUUGCAUCUGUGACUGUAUAGCUAGAGUACGGUAGAGGGGGAUGGAAUUCCGCGUGUAGCAGUGAAAUGCGGAGAUAUGCGGAGGAACACCGCUGGAGAAGGCAAUCCCCUGGACCUGUACUGACGCUCAUGCACGAAAGCGUGGGGAGCAAACA